RNAcentral lists this ribosomal RNA (726 nucleotides) under Otidea flavidobrunneola. RNAcentral's name for it is "eukaryotic LSU rRNA". The stretch from base 328 to 481 matches the Rfam family "5.8S ribosomal RNA". The record is from RNAcentral. Lineage: Eukaryota; Fungi; Ascomycota; Pezizomycetes; Pezizales; Pyronemataceae.
CCUGCGGAAGGAUCAUUAAAAGAAUCUGUGCCCUGCUUUAUUGCAAGUUCAGAGCUACAAUUCUAACCCACUCUGCGUACAAAUUUCCAUGUUGCUCCCGUGGGGUGUGGCUUAGGUCUCACCCUGUGCCUGCGAAAGGUAGGUGUUCGCGGGAGGUCCCCCCACAGUACCUCCGAUAACCAUUUCCGGUUAGGUACUGUGGGGGUUUGUUUAACGAAACGAGGUCUACUUUAAUUUAAUUGAAGGGCCCACAAAGUAUGUCUGAUCUUUAGUUUCUGUGGGUGUGUUACGUAUGUGCACGCACGCAAAAAGAACAACAAUAGUUAAAACUUUCAACAACGGAUCUCUUGGUUCUCGCAUCGAUGAAGAACGCAGCGAAAUGCGAUAAGUAGUGUGAAUUGCAGAAUUCAGUGAAUCAUCGAAUCUUUGAACGCACAUUGCGCCUUCCGGUACUCCGGGAGGCAUGCCUGUUCGAGCGCCAGGAGGAAGAUUGCAAGCUUCGCCGGACAAAGUUGCUUGGUUCUGAAGGUCAAGUGUUGCUCACAUGCCCAUUUGCCUUCCAAAUUCACAGGCGGAUGACUUCGUGUUCCUUUCAGCGUUAUAGGAUAACUCUUUCGCUUGGACUCGGGAGUUGGUCCUGCCCUAAACCCCCCAAUUAUUAUGACCCCGUUGGCCACGAAUCAGGUAGGGAUACCCGCUGAACUUAAGCAUAUCAAUAAGCGGAGG